This 162-nucleotide ribosomal RNA is filed under the name uncultured bacterium. Its description in RNAcentral is "partial 16S ribosomal RNA". It matches the Rfam family "Bacterial small subunit ribosomal RNA", at positions 334 to 504 of the family's 1533-position model. The record is from RNAcentral.
UACUCCUACGGGAGGCAGCAGUGGGGAAUAUUGCACAAUGGGGGAAACCCUGAUGCAGCCAUGCCGCGUGUGUGAAGAAGGCCUUCGGGUUGUAAAGCAUUUCAGUAGGGAGGAAGGUAGUGUAGUUAACACCUCCCUAUUGACGUACAUCAAGACAAUGCC